UACGGGAGGCAGCAGUGGGGAAUAUUGCACAAUGGGCGCAAGCCUGAUGCAGCCAUGCCGCGUGUAUGAAGAAGGCCUUCGGGUUGUAAAGUACUUUCAGUCGUGAGGAAGGUGUUAAGGUUAAUAACCUUAGCAAUUGACGUUAGCGACAGAAGAAGCACCGGCUAACUCCGUGCCAGCAGCCGCGGUAAUACGGAGGGUGCGAGCGUUAAUCGGAAUUACUGGGCGUAAAGGGCACGCAGGCGGUUAAUUAAGUUGGAUGUGAAAUCCCCGGGCUUAACCUGGGAAUGGCAUUCAAGACUGGUUAGCUAGAGUCUUGUAGAGGGGGUAGAAUUCCAUGUGUAGCGGUGAAAUGCGUAGAGAUGUGGAGGAAUACCGGUGGCGAAGGCGGCCCCUGGACAAAGACUGACGCUCAUGUGCGAAAGCGUGGGGAGCAAACAGGGAUUAGAUAC
RNAcentral lists this ribosomal RNA (452 nucleotides) under uncultured bacterium. Its description in RNAcentral is "bacterial SSU rRNA". It matches the Rfam family "Bacterial small subunit ribosomal RNA", at positions 340 to 785 of the family's 1533-position model. The record is from RNAcentral.